UACGUAGGUGGCAAGCGUUGUCCGGAUUUACUGGGUGUAAAGGGCGCGUAGGCGGGAGAACAAGUCAGAUGUGAAAUGUGGGGGCUUAACCCUCAAGCUGCAUUUGAAACUGUACUUCUUGAGUAUCGGAGAGGCAGGCGGAAUUCCUAGUGUAGCGGUGAAAUGCGUAGAUAUUAGGAGGAACACCAGUGGCGAAGGCGGCCUGCUGGACGACAACUGACGCUGAGGCGCGAAAGCGUGGGGAGCAAACAGGAUUAGAUACCCU
RNAcentral lists this ribosomal RNA (265 nucleotides) under uncultured prokaryote. RNAcentral describes it as "partial 16S ribosomal RNA". It matches the Rfam family "Bacterial small subunit ribosomal RNA", at positions 524 to 788 of the family's 1533-position model. The record is from RNAcentral.